AUGAGCUUCCCUCCCUUCCCUUCCUUCCCUCUCACAAAAACAAAAGUUGAGCUAAAAUCUCACUCGCACAACAACCCAACCCCAGCCCUGCUGCUGUGCUGCUGGCUGCUGAGCAAAAACAAAUCCCCACAUCCCCUUCCCUUCCCUUUUCCCCAAAUCAAUCAAUCCCUCCCUCCCUCAAUCACGCGGGCAGGGCAGGCAUCCCCUCCAAGAUUUGAUUUUGCUUCUAAAUCUUUAGGGGAGGGGAGGGGAGGGGAGGGGAGGGGCGAUCCAAGAAGGAAGAUGGAUCAGCAGGAGGAGGAAGCGUCCGUCUCCGUCAGCGUCAGCGUUCCUUCCUCCUUGCCGCCGGAGGAGGAGGAAGAAGAGGAAGAGCAAGAAGAAGAGGAGGAUGACAUGGGUGCGGUGAAGAUGGCGCUGGGCCCUCAGGUUCCCCUCAAGGACCUCCUCCACCUCCACAAGGGGGAGGAGGAGGAGCAGGAGGAUGAGAGCCUCCGCAGAUGGAAGGAGCAGCUCCUUGGACCAGAUGCUCUCCACACAACCAACCUCCUUGCCCUUGCCCUUGGAGCUGAGACCGUCGAACCUGAGGUGACCAUACUCAACCUCACCAUCUUGGCACCAGGGAGGCCUGACCUGGUUUUGCCGAUUCCGUUCGUGCCUGAUGACAAGGGCCACGCCUUCGCGCUCAAGGACGGCACCGCCUACAGCUUCCGCUUCUCCUUCACCGUCUCCAACAACAUCGUGUCCGGUCUCAAGUACUCGCACACCGUCUGGAAGACCCGAGUAAAAGUGGAGAACCAGAAGGUGAUGCUGGGGACAUUCAGCCCUCAGCAGGAGCCCUACACGUACAAGGCUGAAGAAGAUAGCACCCCGAGCGGCAUCUUUGCGAGGGGCUCCUAUUCUGCUAGAUUAAAGUUUGUGGACGAUGAUGGAAAGGUGUACCUGGACAUGAAGUACAGCUUUGAAAUCAGGAAGGACUGGCCUGCCUAA
This 987-nucleotide ribosomal RNA is filed under the name Triticum aestivum (bread wheat). RNAcentral's name for it is "partial small subunit ribosomal RNA". Lineage: Eukaryota; Viridiplantae; Streptophyta; Magnoliopsida; Poales; Poaceae. The record is from RNAcentral.